Xyrichtys novacula (pearly razorfish) is the source of this 681-nucleotide non-coding RNA. NCBI's taxonomy places the organism in Eukaryota, Metazoa, Chordata, Actinopteri, Labriformes, Labridae. The record is from the annotation of a GenBank genome assembly.
UAUAUAUUCUAUCAAAAAUUUUACACUGAAAUAUGACAUAUAAGGAAGUCACAGAGGUGGCUGUGAAUAUGCCUAACUAAGAUAAUCUGUAAUGUUAUUAUUUUCUCUGAUAAUGAGUUAAAUGAAAUCUUUUGCCUGGAUUGGCCUGAAUGUUCAUGACAUGAGGUCCACCUCUGGGAGUGUCAGAACCUCACCCCUGUGGCUCUGUGCUUGUUUCCCUGCUGACUUAGGAUAAACACUGUCACAACAGUGUCCUCCCCUGCUUUCCAGCUGAGUGGACUCAAAAGGUGAAUGGACAGCCCACUCCAGAGAUUUAAUUCAUGUGGAAACACAUGAGACCUUUAAACAGGGACAAGGAGAUAGGAAUGCUACUACGAUCACAUGUAUCUGGAGCUUUUUAUUCUGUGUAUUACAGCAUGAAUGCAUCAACUCUGAAAAACAAAAGAUCUUGUAAGCAUGUCUGAUCUUGUUUCUUGACUGCAGUGGGAGAUUCACGCUCAUAGUUACAGCAUCAGAUAGAAAAACAGCUGCUGGAAUAAGAGGCCCAUGAUCUUCAUUUAUGUAUCCAGCUCAACAAAAACACCACACAUACAUUCACAUUCAUCUCAAACAACUUGAGUGUUUGUUUAUACGAGUGUCCAAACACCACAUUGAUGGCCAUUGUCUCUUUUUUGUUUCUAC